AUACGGAGGAUGCGAGCGUUAUCCGGAUUUAUUGGGUUUAAAGGGAGCGUAGGUGGGAUAUUAAGUCAGCUGUGAAAGUUUGGGGCUCAACCUUAAAAUUGCAGUUGAUACUGGUUUCCUUAAGUACGGUACAGGUGGGCGGAAUUCGUGGUGUAGCGGUGAAAUGCUUAGAUAUCACGAAGAACUCCGAUCGCGAAGGCAGCUCACCGGGCCGGAACUGACACUGAUGCUCGAAAGUGCGGGUAUCAAACAGGAUUAGAUACCCUGGUAGUCCGCACAGUAAACGAUGAAUACUCGCUGUUUGCGAUACACGGUAAGCGGCCAAGCGAAAGCGUUAAGUAUUCCACCUGGGGAGUACGCCGGCAACGGUGAAACUCAAAGGAAUUGGCGGGG
Molecule: ribosomal RNA, 393 nt
Filed under: uncultured bacterium
Lineage: Bacteria
Description: partial 16S ribosomal RNA
Rfam family: Bacterial small subunit ribosomal RNA
Source: RNAcentral